Molecule: ribosomal RNA, 498 nt
Filed under: uncultured bacterium
Lineage: Bacteria
Description: partial 16S ribosomal RNA
Rfam family: Bacterial small subunit ribosomal RNA
Source: RNAcentral
GACGAACGCUGGCGGCAUGCCUAACACAUGCAAGUCGAACGGAGAUUAUUUCGGUAAUCUUAGUGGCGAACGGGUGAGUAACGCGUGGGCAACCUGCCCUCUAGAUGGGGGCAACAUCCCGAAAGGGGUGCUAAUACCGAAUGUGACAGCAAUCUCGCAUGAGGAUGCUGUGAAAGAUGGCCUCUAUUUAUAAGCUAUCGCUAGAGGAUGGGCCUGCGUCUGAUUAGCUAGUUGGUGGGGUAACGGCCUACCAAGGCGAUGAUCAGUAGCCGGUCUGAGAGGAUGAACGGCCACAUUGGGACUGAGACACGGCCCAGACUCCUACGGGAGGCAGCAGUGGGGAAUCUUCCGCAAUGGGCGAAAGCCUGACGGAGCAAUGCCGCGUGAGUGAUGAAGGAAUUCGUUCCGUAAAGCUCUUUUGUUUAUGACGAAUGUGCAGAUUGUGAACAAUGAUCUGUAAUGACGGUAGUAAACGAAUAAGCCACGGCUAACUACGUG